GCCUCAGUAACGGCGAGUGAAGCGGCAAUAGCUCAAAUUUGAAAUCUGGCUCUUUCAGGGUCCGAGUUGUAAUUUGUAGAGGAUGUUUCGGCUUACGCCCCGGUCUAAGUUCCUUGGAACAGGACGUCACAGAGGGUGAGAAUCCCGUUUGUGGCCGGCGGCCUCCGCCAUGUGAAGCUCCUUCGACGAGUCGAGUUGUUUGGGAAUGCAGCUCUAAAUGGGAGGUAAAUUUCUUCUAAAGCUAAAUACCGGCCAGAGACCGAUAGCGCACAAGUAGAGUGAUCGAAAGAUGAAAAGCACUUUGGAAAGAGAGUUAAAAAGUACGUGAAAUUGUUGAAAGGGAAGCGCUUGCGACCAGACUUGCCCGCGGAUGCUCAACCGGUCCUUCGGCCGGUGCACUCUUCCGCGGUCAGGCCAGCAUCAGUUCGGGCGGUCGGAUAAAGGCCUCGGGAAUGUAUCUCUCUUCGGGGAGUGUUAUAGCCCUUGGUGCAAUACGACCCGCCUGG
RNAcentral lists this ribosomal RNA (506 nucleotides) under Acanthostigmina multiseptatum. RNAcentral's name for it is "eukaryotic LSU rRNA". It matches the Rfam family "Eukaryotic large subunit ribosomal RNA", at positions 77 to 587 of the family's 3401-position model. Lineage: Eukaryota; Fungi; Ascomycota; Dothideomycetes; Tubeufiales; Tubeufiaceae. The record is from RNAcentral.